RNAcentral lists this long non-coding RNA (218 nucleotides) under Gossypium raimondii (Peruvian cotton). RNAcentral's name for it is "long non-coding RNA (GRAI_LNC009164)". Lineage: Eukaryota; Viridiplantae; Streptophyta; Magnoliopsida; Malvales; Malvaceae. The record is from RNAcentral.
AGCUGUAAUACCCGAUUUUGGCCCGGGUAAAAGGCCCAAAAUUACAAACGGGCCAUAAGGCCCAAAACCAAUUUAAAACGGUGGCCCAAUUUCGAAAAUGGCCCAAAUUCAGUGGCUCAAAUCAUUUGCAGAAACCCUAGGGUUUCUAAGAAGACUUUGCGCCGCAGUCACGAGCGUCAUCGAUCUUCACCUGCAAGGAAACAAACAAGAAAGGAAAG